UACGUAGGGUGCGAGCGUUGUCCGGAAUUAUUGGGCGUAAAGGGCUCGUAGGCGGUUUGUCGCGUCGGGAGUGAAAACUCAGGGCUUAACCCUGAGCCUGCUUCCGAUACGGGCAGACUAGAGGUAUGCAGGGGAGAACGGAAUUCCUGGUGUAGCGGUGAAAUGCGCAGAUAUCAGGAGGAACACCGGUGGCGAAGGCGGUUCUCUGGGCCUUACCUGACGCUGAGGAGCGAAAGCGUGGGGAGCAAACGGG
RNAcentral lists this ribosomal RNA (253 nucleotides) under uncultured bacterium. Its description in RNAcentral is "partial 16S ribosomal RNA". It matches the Rfam family "Bacterial small subunit ribosomal RNA", at positions 524 to 776 of the family's 1533-position model. The record is from RNAcentral.